This is a long non-coding RNA of Mugil cephalus (flathead mullet), 1994 nucleotides long. RefSeq lists it as uncharacterized. The record is from RefSeq and is a predicted model, not a curated record. NCBI's taxonomy places the organism in Eukaryota, Metazoa, Chordata, Actinopteri, Mugiliformes, Mugilidae. The transcript has 2 exons.
CUUGCCCUUGCUGUUACAUAAAGCCUCCAGAUUAUGUAAGACUGGACAUCUUGUCCAGUCUUCCAUUUUUCUUUGUGUGGGCAGUUCCGUCUCUCCGGGCGAGAUAGUGGGAUGGAAGGAGGUGUGGAGAGUGUGGGCAAAUUAGUGGGCGCUUGUUUUUCAGGCGGUACAGUUCCUUUGCAGCUGGAACUCACAGCGCCAGCUUCCAGUCUAAUUGUGGCACUUGUGCUGAACAGCCUUGGCCCAAGGCUUUCCUCUCCUCCACGUUACCAAACGAGCGCCGGCGGGUGAUGGAGUGGCAGGGGUGGAUUCAUCUGUGUGUAUGUGGGAGAGUUUGCACAAACAAAUUGGUCGUAGAACGUGUUGGAAUCGCAGCCCGCUGAGCGCGGGGCUCACGGUGCCGCCGCUCUUCCUGCUGGGCUGCGCACAUACGAGCGCACUGCGACCACGCUGAGGAUCCCCGGCUCUCACUGUUUACCCGCUGUUUCCUUCUGUGCGUCACCGGAUCGGUGGUUCAAAAACAAGGGAGUCUGCACCAGAACCUGAGUCUGACAUGUUUUGCGGUUGACAUCAUGAGAUUGACCAGUCUGGAAGACACAACGCACAAGACGUGGAUGAGAUCACGUAUAAAUCUCUUGAAUAACGUCUGGUCUGUGGUAAAUGAUUAUUGAAGUGAUUUGUAGCUGAUGUUUGAUAUGAAAUAAUGGCUCGUGAGCCAAAAACUUGUAUUCCUUUAUAAUAAGCUUUAUCACCAUCAUACAACAUUUUUUUUUAAGUUGACAUACUUUUGAAACACUAUUUCCACAGCUGAGGAAAAACUAAUGUUCAGUGUUGAUCUAGAGACAUGAGAACGGUGAGCUACAUCUUUUAAACGUUUCUCAGCCUCCAGAAGCUGAAAAAGCCCCUACGGCAUCGUCAGGAGUUAUGCAACACUGGGUAGCUCCUCCAGAGCUACGGAAAGCAUUAUGUAACUUCUGUUUUUUUGUUUUUUUUUUUUACAUCUAAGUGUAGACUGAAUUUAGCUUGUCAAGUUCCACAACGUCAAUGGCAGUGAAAUUAGUGUAGAGAUUAUCUUUAGCACAUUUGUGAAACGCGCAAAUACUGUUGGACUUGCUGUUUGAUUUCCUCCCAGUGAAAAAUGGGCUGAAGUGCAGAGUCAAACUGCUGGAUCGUCACACCAGGGAUAGGAACCGAUACUCAGUACCAUUAUGACUGACUCGAAUGGUAGUAACCAAACCGAAAAGCAACGCAAAUUUUGGUACUUCGUUUUGAAUUUUUAAGUACCGCCUCCUUAGCCGUGCCGAUGCUACAUGUGAUCUCACAUCAGCUUUACAUCUGCAUGGAUGCAGGUUUGACUGUACUUCACCUCAGAAGUACUCGGCAACCUCCAACAAGUACUCAAAUGCGAUAUUGUGCAAGGAAGGUAACACCUGGAAUUUGAUUUAACAUCUGAAGACGUAUAGCAUUUUUUGUAUGGUCUUUGACAGCCUGCCUGACAGCGAAACCACACACCAAGUUAGCAGCAUCCCCGAAGAGGAGAGUCCCAGCGCUGCCAGCGUCAAAGACAUCACACAUGAUGAUGACAGCAGCCAUCCUUCUUCGCAUGACUAACUUAAUGUUGUUAAUGUGUAAUUUAUGCCGAUGACUCCCUUCACCUCGGCCAAGAAGGCUCAAGUGACAAAAGAAAAAGUGGAGGGAAUGCACAAAGCAGAAACCGCUGAAGGUUUAAUGUUGCUAAGUGUUUUGGAGGCACUUAAACAUUGAAAGUUGAUAGAAAUUACUAUAAAAUCAUGUGACUUUUUAGUUUGCUGUUAAUUUUAGUUGUAUUUAUAUUAUUCAAAUUCAUAUUCUGUUCAACUUCCAUGUCACAAAAUGCCUUUUUGGACACAGUUUGUAUGUUUUUUAUUCUCUAAGCACCGGUUCAGGCACCUUUAAGUAACGCUUUGGCACCAGUAUUGGAUAAAACCUUAAUAAUACCCGUCCCUAGUCACUGC